GGCGGCGUGCCUAAUACAUGCAAGUAGAACGCUGAAGCUUGGUGCUUGCACCGAGCGGAUGAGUUGCGAACGGGUGAGUAACGCGUAGGUAACCUGCCUGGUAGCGGGGGAUAACUAUCGGAAACGAUAGCUAAUACCGCAUAAUAGUAGAUGUUGCAUGACAUUUGCUUAAAAGGUGCAAUUGCAUCACUACCAGAUGGACCUGCGUUGUAUUAGCUAGUUGGUGAGGUAACGGCUCACCAAGGCGACGAUACAUAGCCGACCUGAGAGGGUGAUCGGCCACACUGGGACUGAGACACGGCCCAGACUCCUACGGGAGGCAGCAGUAGGGAAUCUUCGGCAAUGGACGGAAGUCUGACCGAGCAACGCCGCGUGAGUGAAGAAGGUUUUCGGAUCGUAAAGCUCUGUUGUAAGAGAAGAAACGAGUGUGAGAAGUGGAAAAGUUCAAC
This 449-nucleotide ribosomal RNA is filed under the name Streptococcus sp. oral taxon C08. RNAcentral's name for it is "bacterial SSU rRNA". It matches the Rfam family "Bacterial small subunit ribosomal RNA", at positions 38 to 473 of the family's 1533-position model. The record is from RNAcentral. Lineage: Bacteria; Bacillati; Bacillota; Bacilli; Lactobacillales; Streptococcaceae.